Molecule: long non-coding RNA, 411 nt
Filed under: Erythranthe guttata (spotted monkey flower)
Lineage: Eukaryota; Viridiplantae; Streptophyta; Magnoliopsida; Lamiales; Phrymaceae
Description: long non-coding RNA (EGUT_LNC002279)
Source: RNAcentral
UGUUGCUAUUCGGGUUUAUUUAUACCCCUCCUUGAGAGAUGAGGGAGAUACGAGGAUAGCUAAGUGAUACAGCCCCUUUUCUUGUUCAAUUUUCCCAUUUUUCUUCGUGAUUUGAGUGGGUUAAAGGAUCUGUGUGAUCUGUGAGAGUUCUUUGUGAGUUCAGUGUGUUUCUGUGUGAGAACAAAGAAAACGGGGGCUUUCGUGGGUUUUAGAUCUUGGAUAUCUCCAAGAUCUGUUCUGGGUUUGGGUUGAGAAAAGAGUGAGGAGAGAGUGAGUAUCUUUGCUGCGUGUUUGGGCUUGUUACCGGAAUCGUUGGCUGCCUCAUCCGGGAUCGGUGUGUAGCUCGUGGGAACUGUGAACUGAGCCGUGGAUUCUCCUCAGAUCUGAUAGAUAGAUCUUCUGGGUUAGCAU